UUAACUACCCUUGACAUGUCUGGAAUGCCGAAGAGAUUUGGCAGUGCUCGCAAGAGAACCGGAACACAGGUGCUGCAUGGCUGUCGUCAGCUCGUGUCGUGAGAUGUUGGGUUAAGUCCCGCAACGAGCGCAACCCUUGUCAUUAGUUGCUACGAAAGGGCACUCUAAUGAGACUGCCGGUGACAAACCGGAGGAAGGUGGGGAUGACGUCAAGUCCUCAUGGCCCUUAUGGGUAGGGCUUCACACGUCAUACAAUGGUCGGGACAGAGGGCUGCCAACCCGCAAGGGGGAGCCAAUCCCAGAAACCCGAUCGUAGUCCGGAUCGCAGUCUGCAACUCGACUGCGUGAAGUCGGAAUCGCUAGUAAUCGCGGAUCAGCAUGUCGCGGUGAAUACGUUCCCGGGUCUUGUACACACCGCCCGUCACACCAUGGGAGUGGGUUUUACCAGAAGUAGUUAGCCUAACCGCAAGGGGGGCGAUUACCACGGUAGGAUUCAUGACUGGGGUGAAGUCGUAACAAGGUAGGCGUAGAUGA
Molecule: ribosomal RNA, 534 nt
Filed under: uncultured bacterium
Lineage: Bacteria
Description: bacterial SSU rRNA
Rfam family: Bacterial small subunit ribosomal RNA
Source: RNAcentral